GCCUGCCUAGCUCAAUCGGAUAGAGCGUGAGACUUUUACGGACUAUAGUUCACGUGAUUGUAAUCUCAAGGCUGCCGGUUCGACCCCGGCGGUGGGCG
Non-coding RNA from Vararia minispora EC-137, 98 nucleotides. The record is from the annotation of a GenBank genome assembly. NCBI's taxonomy places the organism in Eukaryota, Fungi, Basidiomycota, Agaricomycetes, Russulales, Lachnocladiaceae.